Cucumis sativus (cucumber) is the source of this 269-nucleotide long non-coding RNA. RefSeq lists it as uncharacterized. Lineage: Eukaryota; Viridiplantae; Streptophyta; Magnoliopsida; Cucurbitales; Cucurbitaceae. The record is from RefSeq and is a predicted model, not a curated record. The transcript has 3 exons.
AUAGAAAUGAGCUUGGUAACUAGCAUUCUUGUAGGUGGAUUUGCCAAAAUGGAAAAUGUAGACACUUUUGGGUUGCCAUUUCAAUUGUCUUCUUUGUUGCUGCUACAUUAUUUACUCUACUGAAACUUUGUGAUUUAAUCUUCCCCAGGUUGUAAAGUAUAUUUUGGUCUUAGAUAGCCAGCCAAGCUAAGCUAAGUAGAUGGAAGCAAUUGUUGAAGUUGAAGAUUGUGAAAGCGUUUAAGAUUUCUUAUUUAAGUCUUGUAUUAGGA